UUAAUCUUUUUGUGCUUGACGAUGAUUAAAAUAGUUGGCUAGUUGAUGACAAAGACUGAUUAUGAUUAAGUGCACUUUGCUAAAGCUUCACUUAAGCUUCAAGUUUCCAUGACGAUGAUGUAAAAAAAUAAAGAUGAUACACACAAAAGGAGAUGAUUCUGGUGUCUUCAAAAGGAUGAUGAUUGUGGUGAUGAUGAUCAAGUGUAACAAUGAAGCAAUAAUUCAAAGGCGAUGAUGAAAAGCAUUUAAACUUUAACCAACAAGGUUCAUCCUAAAUGAAUGGGACACCAAAUAGCAGCAAACUGAUGAUAAACGUUACGUUUCGUUCAAGUCAACAUUUUGUAUUAAAUAGUUAGACCAUGGUUUUGCUUACAGAAUGUUAAUCAUUAGGAAGAGAGAGAGAAAAAAGAAGAUGAAAGUUACUUUAGAUUAUCUUCUAUCUUUCCAUCUCUCUUUUUUCGUCUUUUCAUCUAUUUUUUAAGUAUUAGGUGUAAAAAGAAUCUAAACUAUUUGACCUGAAAAACGCGGAUAUAACCUGAACCAUUGAGAGAUAUUUAACAUCAUGUUACUUCAUCUUCUUCAUUUCUCUUUCUCUAGUUUUCUCUUUCACACUUUUCCUCUCAUCUUCUCUUUUCUUCUUCUUUUUCAGAUGUAACUUUAAUUCUGCAAGUAGACAUUUCUUGUGUGUUUCCAAGCAAAGGAACCAAAAAGGAUGCGGCAAUCUAUUCAAAAGCUCAUUCUCGCGGAACGACAAAGAUCCUUAUGAUUAGUUACCAAUGAUGAAGAUGAUGCUUCAAAUUUGGUGAUAUCAAGCCUUGGAUAGCUUUUUGCAAGCAAAGAUGAUGCUACAAUUUUUACAUGUGUCAACUUGUGAAAUAUAACAGUUAACUUGAUCAUCAAUUAUAAUUCUGAACCUCAUUCAUAUCUUGAUACCUCGAUUGGUUAAUUGAAUGUCGAUUGUGAACAAAUUUCAAGUUUACAUUCCAGUUUCCAAAUUUCUCCUUGCAUUUAACUUGCAGUUAUAAGGAAUGGAGCAAACUAAAACACAAACCUCAAAUUGUUAACCACUGAAUAUGCUAAAGGCACAUAAACACACAAGAAGAAGAGGAAAGCUGAUCAAGACUAUCAACAACAAACGCUUACAGGCACAAGAAGAGGAGUCCAAAAAUAAAAAAGCUGAUGAAUAAGAUGAUGACUAGGACGAUGAGUCAAAGGAUGAGAAAAGUGAUGAACAGUUUUACAUCAACAGAAGGAGUUUUUUAGGAACCAUUUUCAACACCAAUGUGACACAAUAAGUUGACACAUUGAUGCAGUGUGACAAGAGUUAACCCAACCUUGUACUCAACAAAUACAACUUUUCAACUGGCAACAAACAUUUAUACUGAAAUGAAUAUUGAGAGGACAGAAUUGGCGGAUCAAGAAUGCAUAACCUGAUAAACUGUAAUAUAUGUAUUUAUAAUAAUCACACUGAUUAUAGUUGAAAAAAGGAGAAGACUUAAGUCUUGGAUAAGAAACAUUUGUAAAGCUUAGCUUAAGGGCUUUGCUUUUUGGUCUUUGCCAUCUUUUCAUCCUUUUGAUCAUCUUCUUCUUCUCAUAAUCUCUCACCUCUCACGGUGUUUAAUGCGCCCCAUCAGGUUGACCUUUAAAAAGCUUAAGCUUAGCAAGGGAUGGUUUUUGCUGGAGUUAUCAUUAUGCUUAUUAUUCCUCAUCUCUGGUCAUGUCAAGCAACAUUUGCCAGCAACAGUAUCAUCACUCUAAACCCCGCAAUUGGCGUUUUAAUUCUUAACCAUAUUCUUGCUCUCAUCUUGAAAUCAUCAAAUAAGAUUGUCUCUCAUUUAAUUUGAUAACUUUGCUUUGCUUUGAAACAUUAUUAAGGAUAAUAACGCAAUACCAGAAGCACGGGUGUGCCAUUCAAUAAGCAUGAUCAUCUUCAUCUUCAUCAUCAUCUUUAAUUUAUAUCAGUGAAACAUUCACAGAAAAUUUGGGUAACUCUGAGAUUAUUUUGAGUUUUUUUUCUUCUCUCUCAUUCUCCUCUUUCUGCUUUAAAAAACACCUUUAGGCGUUAUCAUGAAUUGAAAUUUUCUGAUCAAAUUGAACCAGAAACAGAAUGUCAUUUUUCUUGUUCCAAUGGAUCAUGAUAAUGAAGAGUAAAAAAAGCGUUUA
Tetranychus urticae (two-spotted spider mite) is the source of this 2163-nucleotide non-coding RNA. NCBI's taxonomy places the organism in Eukaryota, Metazoa, Arthropoda, Arachnida, Trombidiformes, Tetranychidae. The record is from RefSeq and is a predicted model, not a curated record.